RNAcentral lists this ribosomal RNA (497 nucleotides) under uncultured bacterium. Its description in RNAcentral is "partial 16S ribosomal RNA". It matches the Rfam family "Bacterial small subunit ribosomal RNA", at positions 28 to 507 of the family's 1533-position model. The record is from RNAcentral.
GAUGAACGCUGGCGGCGUGCCUAAUACAUGCAAGUCGAGCGAACAGAUGAGGAGCUUGCUCCACUGACGUUAGCGGCGGACGGGUGAGUAACACGUGGAUAACCUACCUAUAAGACUGGGAUAACUUCGGGAAACCGGAGCUAAUACCGGAUAAUAUAUUGAACCGCAUGGUUCAAUAGUGAAAGACGGUUUUGCUGUCACUUAUAGAUGGAUCCGCGCCGCAUUAGCUAGUUGGUAAGGUAACGGCUUACCAAGGCAACGAUGCGUAGCCGACCUGAGAGGGUGAUCGGCCACACUGGAACUGAGACACGGUCCAGACUCCUACGGGAGGCAGCAGUAGGGAAGCUUCGCAGAUGGGCGGAAGCCUGACGGAGCAACGCCGCGUGAGUGAAGAAGGUCUUCGGAUCGUAAAACUCUGUUAUUAGGGAAGAACAAAUGUGGCAGUAACUAUGCACGUCUUGACGGUACCUAAUCAGAAAGCAACGGCUAACUACGUG